GUCCGAUGUGGUGAAUCAAUAUGAAAAAACUGUCGCGCAUGCGUUUUGGGUCUCUAUGCUGGCGCCUUCCCUAGGCGAAGAAUCGGAUGUGCACACUGCCUCACAACAUCCCCGGGUGGCGCUAUGCUUAUUAUUGCGCUGUGCUCAACCGAACUACUUUCCAAGUGUCACGUGCUUUCUUCAUAUCCCGGGUUUCAGCCGUGGGUCAAGUGCAAGGCCAUUGAAUUGGACGUGCUUAGAAAAUGUCCAGCGGUUCCAUCACCUCCAGCACAACCGUGCGCGGGCCCAUCAUGACCAGCCUGGUGACGACACGGUAGUCAAGGUGGAGGACACAGCGGCCAUUCACCUGGCUGAUAAACUGCCGCACCUGAGGAAGGCCAUCAACAUCGGCGUUUAGGACCCCUGUCGCAUCCUUAAAACACGUCUCUGUAUAGGAGCUGCUGACCUGAUUUGGGAUUGCACCUGGUGAGAGGAAGGGGGAGCAGUGGGGAGGGGGGGAAAUACCCAUCCUGAGUCAUCUGCUGCGAGGUCACUCCCCCCCGAUGGACAGUAGAUGUUACCCUGAUC
Non-coding RNA from Paramormyrops kingsleyae, 567 nucleotides. The record is from RefSeq and is a predicted model, not a curated record. Lineage: Eukaryota; Metazoa; Chordata; Actinopteri; Osteoglossiformes; Mormyridae.